Molecule: ribosomal RNA, 1507 nt
Filed under: uncultured Bordetella sp.
Lineage: Bacteria; Pseudomonadati; Pseudomonadota; Betaproteobacteria; Burkholderiales; Alcaligenaceae
Description: partial 16S-23S ribosomal RNA intergenic spacer
Rfam family: Bacterial small subunit ribosomal RNA
Source: RNAcentral
GUUUGAUUCUGGCUCAGAUUGAACGCUGGCAGUCACUUACUACAUACAGUGAAACGGCAGCAGCACGGACUUCGGUCUGGUGGCGGCGAGUGGCGAACAGGUGAGCGUGAGCGUUAUCGGAACAUACGCCUGAUGGCGGAUAACCUGCGAAAAAGCGCUGCUGUACCGCAUACGCCCUUCGGGGAAAACGUUUUGGGAGCCUUCAGACCUCGCCUGCUAUUGAAACGGCCGAUAUCGGGUUGCUUCGUUGGGUGAAUGUUGGCGGCUCACCAAGGCGACAGUCCGUAGCUGGUUUGAAGGACGACCAGCCACACUGGGACUGAGACACGGCCCAGACUCCUACGGGGAGGCAGCAGUGGGGAAUUUUGAACCGUGGGGAAACCUGAUCCCAGCCAUCCCGCGUGUGCGAUGAAGGCCUUCGGGUUGUAAAGCACUUUUUAGCAGAAAAAACGGCACAGGAUAAUACCCCGUGCAACUGACGGUACCUGCAGAAUAAGCACCGGCUAACUACGUGCCAGCAGCCGCGGUAAUACGUAGUGCAAGCGUUAAUCGGAAUUACUGGGCGUAAAGCGUGCGCAGGCGGUUCGGAAAGAAAGAUGUGAAAUCCCAGAGCUUAACUUUGGAACUGCAUUUUUAACUACCGAGCUGAAGGUGUCAGAGGGAGGUGGAAUUCCGCGCGAUAACAACGGUGAAAUGCGUAGAUAUGCGGAAGACACCGAUGGCGAAAGGCAGCCUCUGGGAUCUACUUACCUGACGCUCAUGCACGAAGGCGUGAGGAAUGACAAGUUAGGUACCCUGGUAGUCCACGCCCUAAACGAUGUCAACUAGCUGUUGGGGCCUUCGGGCCUGGUAGCGCAGCUAACGCGUGAAGUUGACCGCCGUAAGAGUACGGUCGCAAGAUUAAAACUCAAAGGAAUUGACGGGGACCCGCACAAGCGGUGGAUGAUGUGGAUUAAUUCGAUGCAACGCGAAAAACCUUACCUACCCUUGACAUGUCUGGAAUCCCGAAGAGAUUUGGGAGUGCUCGCAAGAGAACCGGAACACAGGUGCUGCAUGGCUGUCGUCAGCUCGUGUCGUGAAGGAUGUUGGGUUAAGUCCGCAGCGAGCGCAACCCUUGUCAUUAGUUGCUACGAAAGAGCACUCUAAUGAAGACUGCCAUUGAUAGCCGGGAAGGUGGGGAUGACGUCAAGUCCUCGUAGCCCGCCUUAUGGGUAGGGCUUCACACGUCAUACAAUGGUCAGGACGAGAGGGUCGCCAACCCGCGAGGGGGAGCCAAUCCCAGAAACCCGAUCGUAGUCCGGAUCGCAGUCUGCAACUCGACUGCGUGAAGUCGGGAAUCGCUAGUAAUCGCGGAUCAGCAUGUCGCGGUGAAUACGUUCCCGGGUCUUGUACACACCGCCCGUCCACCAUGGGAGUGGUUUUACCAAAGGAAGGCAAAUUCGCCUAACAGCAGGAGAGGCGAUUACCACAGUAGGAUCAUGACUGGGGUGAAGUCGUAACAAGGUAG